CAGCAGCCGCGGGAAUACGUAGGUGGCAAGCGUUGUCCGGAAUUAUUGGGCGUAAAGGGCUCGCAGGCGGUUUCUUAAGUCUGAUGUGAAAGCCCCCGGCUCAACCGGGGAGGGUCAUUGGAAACUGGGAAACUUGAGUGCAGAAGAGGAGAGUGGAAUUCCACGUGUAGCGGUGAAAUGCGUAGAGAUGUGGAGGAACACCAGUGGCGAAGGCGACUCUCUGGUCUGUAACUGAUGCUGAGGAGCGAAAGCGUGGGGAGCGAACAGGAUUAGAUACUCGUGUAGUCCCUGUCUCUUAUAC
Molecule: ribosomal RNA, 301 nt
Filed under: uncultured bacterium
Lineage: Bacteria
Description: partial 16S ribosomal RNA
Rfam family: Bacterial small subunit ribosomal RNA
Source: RNAcentral